GGGCCAUAUAGCGUUGAAACGGCGGUUCCCGUGCGAUCACCGAAGUUAAGCAACGUCGCACCUGGUCAGUACCCAGAUGGGUGACCGCUUGGGAAUACCAGGUGCUAUA
This is a non-coding RNA of Acanthosepion pharaonis, 109 nucleotides long. Lineage: Eukaryota; Metazoa; Mollusca; Cephalopoda; Sepiida; Sepiidae. The record is from the annotation of a GenBank genome assembly.